Molecule: long non-coding RNA, 264 nt
Organism: Otolemur garnettii (small-eared galago)
Lineage: Eukaryota; Metazoa; Chordata; Mammalia; Primates; Galagidae
Exons: 3
Source: RefSeq, a predicted model, not a curated record
GCCUCGGCCUCUCCUAUGACCUGUCCCCAACACCAAGGUCCCGUUCUGGACCUCGCCGACCCCUCUCAGUCCUGUGAGAAGAGAUAGGUUGGAAAAACAGAUGGAUGGAAAAGCGAAAGCCCCUAAACCUGGCACCACGGUUUAAGGAACAUGCAGCUCAGGACCUGACUUGUGCAGACUGGAAACUCCCUGAAGUCCUCACCAGAAGCAGAUGCUUGGAGCCAUGCUUGUCAUACAGACUGAAGAACCAGGAGCCAAAUAAAC